UGAAAAGGCGAGGUAAGAGCUCACCAGUACUGCUGGUGACAGCGGUAGCUUGGUAAACCCUAUCCGGAGCAAGAUCAAAUAGGAAAGUGUUCGAGGGCUGCCCGUCCGAUGCUUUCGGGUUGAUUGCUUGAGCCUGUUGGCAACAGCAGGCCUAGAUUGAUGGUCACCACUUCAUUUUAAAUGAAGAACAAAACCCGGCUUAUGGUUUGCUUCGGCUU
RNAcentral lists this RNase P RNA (218 nucleotides) under Nitrospina sp. RNAcentral describes it as "partial RNase P RNA component class A". It matches the Rfam family "Bacterial RNase P class A", at positions 155 to 367 of the family's 367-position model. From Rfam's summary of the family: Ribonuclease P (RNase P) is a ubiquitous endoribonuclease, found in archaea, bacteria and eukarya as well as chloroplasts and mitochondria. The record is from RNAcentral. Lineage: Bacteria; Pseudomonadati; Nitrospinota; Nitrospinia; Nitrospinales; Nitrospinaceae.